CCCGUGCCGCGACUGCAAGUCAGCGAGCUUUUUUUCUUGAACAAGUCGGUUCCGAUUAUUGCCGAAGAUGACGUCACCCUGCGCGCCGAGCUGCCUCCGAUCUGCGGCGACGCUCGGCUGUUCCGAGUCCGGGAGGAGGAUGCUCCAGAUGUUGAAGUGCUGGGGAUUUCUGUUGGAGAGAGAGGAGACACUGAUCGCAACAAGCGACAGAUCAAGGGGCUUUCAUCAAUGCUUUCAUCAACACUCCAUGGCCGUAUAAGGAUAAAAUACGUUUGCUGCUGGUUUGUAAUAAUCGUUUGUGACUAGUGUCAUCAUCUUUCUCUCGCUUCCCCAUUCCAAGCAGUUUUCAUGUGCACAGCUAUGUCCACUGUCAUGACUGUUGAAGCAGCCACGCCAUUGAAACUGCCUUUGUCAAAAAGGUUAUGUUUAAUGUCAUUUCUCCUUCUCCAUGGACAACAUAUCCCCAGAAGUUGUACAUGUAUUUGGGUAGAGAAGAUGAUCAACUAAUAUGAUGUAUGCAAAUGCAGAGCUUAUUUCUAUAACCAAUGAGAAACAUUUGUAAUACAUCACUUCAAGGGUUAACAUCUUUGGUGAUGGCAUGAGAUCAUGGAACUCUAGUUGUCACUGGACUACACAAAAAUUAACAUGAAAUGUCGAACGUGGGUGACAAUGUAUACUUUGGCUUUAUAAAGGGGCAUACUGGGAGGCUAUCUCACCUUUAAUUACAGUGCUUGUAUGUUUGACACUGAGGGAGACAUCCUGUUUACACAUAAAACUUAGCUAGAUUACGUAGUUUGUGCACAGUGUAAACAUUUCACUCCUUUGUCUAUGUGUAUUUGUUAGAGGUGAACUGAUGAAAGAGACCAAAUUUGCCACAUUUCUUAUAAAACAUCUUUUAAUGUCAGAACGAACUUUGUACACAUAACAAAAACAUUUGCCACAGCACUACAGAAUAAAUAUGCUACCUAACAAACUAUCCAGACAUGUAGAACAACUAUCCUUGGUGUGGACUGCAACAAUACCGGCUGAGAUACAUUUUGUAACUGUGUAAUAAUAUGGUUUUGAGAAACGCUUAAAGAAUAUUGAAUUUCCGAUAUCAUGUGUCAAGGCACUGCUCUGAUCUGCAGUUAUUGCUUGAUUCCUGCUAGUGCGUCCCCUGUACUGACUCCUUUUGGUUACAUCUCAAGCCUUACAUGGGCUGUAAAUAGUGCUAACUUUAUAGAAUUCUUGUCAUAUUGGGACUGAUUCCACAAAUGGCUUUGUGCAUUUAUAGCUAUGUUUGUGUCUAUAUAAAAUGAUUCUGUGCGUCAGCUUUGUGUAGUUCCAACUGGUUAACAUAAUGUGCAUUUGCCUCUAAUAAACAUAGACUUCUAAUAGACAUAUAAAGGUGAUGACUUCUGAGUAUCUCCCACAGUGAAGCCUUUACUCUAUCUAACAUAAGUUAUCUUAACUUCUCCAUGUCUUUGAUCGUGGAGCUUUAAAACUUCGUACAUUUUCUGGCUUACAAUUUUGGUAAACUAUUUGCUGCGACUCCCUCAAAGUGGCUAGAAUAUCAGCACAAGCUCCAUAGAGCAUGUGUGGUACAGACAAUACUGUUCUUGUUAAACACAGAGGUACCAGAAGCAGAGUUGUUUCCCCUGCCUCGUGUUGACAAUAUAUAAAGCACUGUUUCA
This is a long non-coding RNA of Branchiostoma floridae (Florida lancelet), 1673 nucleotides long. RefSeq lists it as uncharacterized. The transcript has 2 exons. The record is from RefSeq and is a predicted model, not a curated record. Lineage: Eukaryota; Metazoa; Chordata; Leptocardii; Amphioxiformes; Branchiostomatidae.